UACGAAGGGUGCAAGCGUUACUCGGAAUUACUGGGCGUAAAGCGUGCGUAGGCGGUUUGUUAAGUCUGUCGUGAACGCCCCGGGCUCACCCUGGGAAUGGCGAUGGAAACUGGCGAGCUAGAGUACGGUAGAGGAGAGUGGAAUUCCCGGUGUAGCAGUGAAAUGCGUAGAGAUCGGAAGGAACACCAGUGGCGAAGGCGGUUACCUGGCCUAAUACUGACACUGAGGCACGAAAGCGUGGGGAGCAAACAGG
RNAcentral lists this ribosomal RNA (253 nucleotides) under uncultured bacterium. Its description in RNAcentral is "partial 16S ribosomal RNA". It matches the Rfam family "Bacterial small subunit ribosomal RNA", at positions 524 to 776 of the family's 1533-position model. The record is from RNAcentral.